This 306-nucleotide ribosomal RNA is filed under the name uncultured bacterium. RNAcentral describes it as "partial 16S ribosomal RNA". It matches the Rfam family "Bacterial small subunit ribosomal RNA", at positions 1 to 334 of the family's 1533-position model. The record is from RNAcentral.
ACUCUCGUGUCAGAGUUUGAUCCUGGCUCAGAACGAACGCUGGCGGCAGGCUUAACACAUGCAAGUCGAACGCCCCGCAAGGGGAGUGGCAGACGGGUGAGUAACGCGUGGGAACAUACCCUUUCCUGCGGAGUAGCUCCGGGAAACUGGAAUUAAUACCGCAUACGCCCUACGGGGGAAAGAUUUAUCGGGGAAGGAUUGGCCCGCGUUGGAUUGGCUAGUUGGUGGGUAAAGGCCUACCAAGGCGACGAUCCAUAGCUGGUCUGAGAGGAUGAUCAGCCACAUUGGGACUGAGACACGGCCCAG